GAUGAACGCUGGCGGCGUGCUUAACACAUGCAAGUCGAGCGAAGCGCUUAAGUUUGAUUCUUCGGAUGAAGACUUUUGUGACUGAGCGGCGGACGGGUGAGUAACGCGUGGGUAACCUGCCUCAUACAGGGGGAUAACAGUUAGAAAUGACUGCUAAUACCACAUAAGACCACGGUACCGCAUGGUACAGUGGUAAAAACUCCGGUGGUAUGAGAUGGACCCGCGUCUGAUUAGGUAGUUGGUGGGGUAACGGCCUACCAAGCCGACGAUCAGUAGCCGACCUGAGAGGGUGACCGGCCACAUUGGGACUGAGACACGGCCCAGACUCCUACGGGAGGCAGCAGUGGGGAAUAUUGCACAAUGGAGGAAACUCUGAUGCAGCGACGCCGCGUGAAGGAUGAAGUAUUUCGGUAUGUAAACUUCUAUCAGCAGGGAAGAAAAUGACGGU
This 448-nucleotide ribosomal RNA is filed under the name uncultured bacterium. RNAcentral describes it as "bacterial SSU rRNA". It matches the Rfam family "Bacterial small subunit ribosomal RNA", at positions 28 to 458 of the family's 1533-position model. The record is from RNAcentral.